AGGGCACCACCAGGAGUGGAGCCUGCGGCUUAAUUUGACCCAACACGGGAAAACUCACCCGGCCCGGACACCGUAAGGAUUGACAGAUUGAGAGCUCUUUCUUGAUUCGGUGGGUGGUGGUGCAUGGCCGUUCUUAGUUGGUGGAGCGAUUUGUCUGGUUAAUUCCGAUAACGAACGAGACUCUAGCCUGCUAAAUAGGCAGUGGAUUAUUCGUCCACUGUACUUCUUAGAGGGACAAGCAGCGUCUAGCUGCACGAGAUUGAGCAAUAACAGGUCUGUGAUGCCCUUAGAUGUUCGGGGCUGCACGCGCGCUACACUGAAGGAAUCAACAUGCUUCUCAACCUUGGCCGGAAGGUCUAGGUAACCCGUUGAAACUCCUUCGUGAUUGGGAUAGGGAAUUGCAAUUAUUUCCCUUGAACGAGGAAUUCCCAGUAAGUGCGGGUCAUCAGCUCGCGCUGAUUACGUCCCUGCCCUUUGUACACACCGCCCGUCGCUACUACCGAUUGGAGGUAGAGCAGA
This 519-nucleotide ribosomal RNA is filed under the name uncultured eukaryote. RNAcentral describes it as "SSU rRNA". It matches the Rfam family "Eukaryotic small subunit ribosomal RNA", at positions 1161 to 1704 of the family's 1831-position model. The record is from RNAcentral.